This 253-nucleotide ribosomal RNA is filed under the name uncultured bacterium. RNAcentral describes it as "partial 16S ribosomal RNA". It matches the Rfam family "Bacterial small subunit ribosomal RNA", at positions 524 to 776 of the family's 1533-position model. The record is from RNAcentral.
UACAGAGGGUGCAAGCGUUGUUCGGAAUUACUGGGCGUAAAGGGCUCGUAGGUGGCCAACUAAGUCAGACGUGAAAUCCCUCGGCUUAACCGGGGAACUGCGUCUGAUACUGGAUGGCUUGAGUUUGGGAGAGGGACGCGGAAUUCCAGGUGUAGCGGUGAAAUGCGUAGAUAUCUGGAGGAACACCGGUGGCGAAGGCGGCGUCCUGGACCAACACUGACACUGAUGAGCGAAAGCCAGGGGAGCAAACGGG